AAAAACUUAAUUCCUAAAUUUCCAUGUCUAUCGUUUGACCGUUCGUCUUAUUUGAAAAAAAUAUAAAAAAAUUUAAAAAGAUAAGUUAUACAUAAAAUAUUAUUUAUAUUUUAUCAUCUAACAAUAAUGAAAAUACUAAUCAUAAGACAGACGGUCAAACGUUGGACACGAAAAUCGAAGAAUUCAGUUUUU
MicroRNA precursor from Oryza sativa Indica Group (long-grained rice), 192 nucleotides. It matches the Rfam family "MIR812 microRNA precursor family". The record is from Rfam. NCBI's taxonomy places the organism in Eukaryota, Viridiplantae, Streptophyta, Magnoliopsida, Poales, Poaceae.